This 85-nucleotide transfer RNA is filed under the name Thermomonospora cellulosilytica. It matches the Rfam family "tRNA". Rfam says of the family: Transfer RNA (tRNA) molecules are approximately 80 nucleotides in length. Their secondary structure includes four short double-helical elements and three loops (D, anti-codon, and T loops). The record is from Rfam by way of RNAcentral. Lineage: Bacteria; Bacillati; Actinomycetota; Actinomycetes; Streptosporangiales; Thermomonosporaceae.
GGAAGGUUGGCCGAGCGGUAAGGCAGUCGUCUCGAAAGCGAUCGUCAGGGUGACACCUGCCCGGGUUCGAAUCCUGGACCUUCCG